UAUAUAGCAAGCACCUGCUGAUUUCAUCAUGGUUGCAUACCGGUCUUUGUCUCGACCAGACCCUUUCUACAAGAUAACUUAUUUUACAGACCCUUUGAACAAACACUUGUAGUACCAUAACAAAUGUCUUUACAACACAACGUAUCUAAAUUUCGGAUCCAUGCUUUAUUUACUUUCAUAUCCCAUCAGAUUUUCAUCAGUUUGGCCAAAGUUUGGUAGGCAUUUGGAACAUCCCCACCAGCUGUUUUCGAUCUUAUUGGGUUUUCAAUGCCAUGUACAUGUAUAUA
This is a long non-coding RNA of Haliotis rubra (blacklip abalone), 287 nucleotides long. RefSeq lists it as uncharacterized. Lineage: Eukaryota; Metazoa; Mollusca; Gastropoda; Lepetellida; Haliotidae. The record is from RefSeq and is a predicted model, not a curated record. The transcript is spliced from 2 exons.